ACGUUAUAAGUAUAGAAAUACACCUGACUUCCAAUUAGGAGACCAUAGUAAAAAUUCUAUGAUAGCGUA
RNAcentral lists this transfer RNA (69 nucleotides) under Actinopyga echinites. RNAcentral describes it as "tRNA-Gly". It matches the Rfam family "tRNA". Rfam says of the family: Transfer RNA (tRNA) molecules are approximately 80 nucleotides in length. Their secondary structure includes four short double-helical elements and three loops (D, anti-codon, and T loops). Further hydrogen bonds mediate the characteristic L-shaped molecular structure. tRNAs have two regions of fundamental functional importance: the anti-codon, which is responsible for specific mRNA codon recognition, and the 3' end, to which the tRNAs corresponding amino acid is attached (by aminoacyl-tRNA synthetases). tRNAs cope with the degeneracy of the genetic code in two manners: having more than one tRNA (with a specific anti-codon) for a particular amino acid; and 'wobble' base-pairing, i.e. permitting non-standard base-pairing at the 3rd anti-codon position. Lineage: Eukaryota; Metazoa; Echinodermata; Holothuroidea; Aspidochirotida; Holothuriidae. The record is from RNAcentral.